RNAcentral lists this ribosomal RNA (448 nucleotides) under uncultured bacterium. RNAcentral describes it as "partial 16S ribosomal RNA". It matches the Rfam family "Bacterial small subunit ribosomal RNA", at positions 329 to 793 of the family's 1533-position model. The record is from RNAcentral.
AGCCAGACUCCUACGGGAGGCAGCAGUGGGGAAUAUUGCACAAUGGGGGAAACCCUGAUGCAGCGACGCCACGUGAAGGAUGAAGUAUUUCGGUAUGUAAACUUCUAUCAGCAGGGAAGAAAAUGACGGUACCUGACUAAGAAGCCCCGGCUAACUGCGUGCCAGCAGCCGCGGUAAUACGUAGGGGGCAAGCGUUAUCCGGAUUUACUGGGCGUAAAGGGAGCGCAGGCGGCGCGCCAAGUCUGAUGUGAAACCCCGGGGCUCAACCCCGGGCAUGCAUUGGAAACUGCCGGGCUGGAGUGCCGGAGGGGUAAGCGGAAUUCCUGGUGUAGCGGUGAAAUGCGCAGAUAUCAGGAAGAACACCGGUGGCGUAGGCGGCUUACUGGACGGCAACUGACGCUGAGGCUCGAAAGCGUGGGGAGCAAACAGGAUUAGAUACCCGCGUACG